RNAcentral lists this ribosomal RNA (497 nucleotides) under uncultured bacterium. RNAcentral describes it as "partial 16S ribosomal RNA". It matches the Rfam family "Bacterial small subunit ribosomal RNA", at positions 28 to 507 of the family's 1533-position model. The record is from RNAcentral.
GAUGAACGCUGGCGGCGUGCCUAAUACAUGCAAGUCGAGCGAACGGACGAGGAGCUUGCUUCUCUGAUGUUAGCGGCGGACGGGUGAGUAACACGUGGAUAACCUACCUAUAAGACUGGGAUAACUUCGGGAAACCGGAGCUAAUACCGGAUGAUAUUUUGAACCGCAUGGUUCAAAAGUGAAAGACGGUCUUGCUGUCACUUAUAGAUGGAUCCGCGCUGCAUUAGCUAGUUGGUAAGGUAACGGCUUACCAAGGCAACGAUGCAUAGCCGACCUGAGAGGGUGAUCGGCCACACUGGAACUGAGACACGGUCCAGACUCCUACGGGAGGCAGCAGUAGGGAAUCUUCCGCAAUGGGCGAAAGCCUGACGGAGCAACGCCGCGUGAGUGAUGAAGGUCUUCGGAUCGUAAAGCUCUGUUAUUAGGGAAGAACAUAUGUGUAAGUAACUGUGCACGUCUUGACGGUACCUAAUCAGAAAGCCACGGCUAACUACGUG